CAUUUGCAACAUCACAUUUGCCAGUACAGCAUCUCUUUGUGAUGUCCCAAUGUUUUUGAAAAAUUGCCAUAGUACACUUUAAAGAUCAUUAGUUUUAAUUUUUACAUCUAUGGUCUAGAAGUGUUUUUCAAACAAAAAUGUUUGUCAUUCUGACAUAACUACUGGUUUAACAAAUCUGCCUUAAAAUUCUGAGGACAGAGGUUAAAAUCCCGCCACCCCUGUCCGGAGUUUCCGUGUUGCCCUGCGGGGGUUUUCUCCAGGUACUCCGAUUUCCUCCCACAUUUCAGAAACAGGUUAAUUGAAGACUGAAGAAUUAAAAACUGAGUGUGAAUGGUUGUGAUUGGCUGGUGACCAGUUCAGUCUGCAUCUCUCCUUUCAUCUAAACUCAACUGAGAUAAGCACCAGCACACGUACAACCUUAGUGAGGAUAAGUGGUACCAUAAAAUGGACAGAUGUAUUUUACUACUACUAUGCUUAGCUCAAGAUUUUGAUGGACUAGGGUGCCUUCCGACUUUCAGGUAUGUCACCGCCAUAAUAACAAAAUACUGUUUUAAACUGAGAAUCCCACGUAGACCUUUUUUAUAUUAACACAUAAAUUUAAGAUUAAAAUCUCAAAAAGUGCUCAAAAAUCUAACUCCUUGUUUGUUUUCUACAGUAAAUACAUUAAACGUUUGAAUAUACGUGCUGAAACGUGCAAAGACAAUUGUUGAUAUAUGGCUUAAAACCCUUUUUCAUCUUGUAAACUGUCCUGAUUUUGAGGACCAUUGUGGUUUGAAUCCCUUCUAUCCACAUAUCCUUUAAAUGCCAUAUCCUUUAUAUUUUCACACAGGCAGUAUGUCAUUUCUGUACCUUGUGUGCUGACUUUAUUUGAUUGCUUCUUCUUUUUGACUAUCUGCAGCUUGUUGGGCAGCACAAUAUUGUGCUACCUGCCAGCCGCUCCCAAACCCGGAUAAAUGCAGAGGGUUGCGUCAGGAAGAGCAUCCGGUGUAAAACUGUGCCAAAAUGCAGGAAGGCAUCUAAGGAAAGAUAUUAGCGAAGAAGUGGGACACGGAGAGGACUGAGGAGAGGCUACUUACGCUUGGCAGAUAUGGAGAGAUCUUCCCAUUUGGUGUUUGGUUUUGAUUUAUUGUAUUGAAGAAAAUUCCCACUUAUUUGAAGUUCUUGGAACACUUCAAGUGGAACACUUCACUUCGUGUCCUAAAAACAUUAUUGUUAAUUAGUUGUUGUAAGUGGUCAAUUCUGUUAUUCACAAUUGCUAAAAGGGUUGCUGAGGGAUAUAUUAUUAAUUUCAAAAUCUGGAUUAUGACUGAUUGGGGAGAACAUACUUGGACCUAAGUGAGAGUAGGUUAUAGACUUUUCCACCAAGCCGUUAAAAUGACAGUGAUGCUGAUCACUAGUGAGGAAAUACAUUUAGUAGUAAAACUAAUGAAUAGCUGCAGCAAGAGGUUCAAUGAUUAUUGCGAAUAGGAUUGGUGAGAGUGGACAUCUUUGUCUGGUUCCUCUUUGCAAUGGAAAGCUUUGUGAAAUAAUCCUGUUUGAGGUGAUUGUUGUAUUCUGGAACUAUAUAAUAUUGCUAGUAUGAACGAAUCUCAAAAGUCACAUUUGCAUUAUAAUUGCUAACAGGAAAGUCCAGUUAACUUCAUGAAAAGCUUUUUCUGCACCAAGUGUCAUCAUAAUUGCAUCUGGGUUUUUACAUUUUGACAUGCAUAUUAAAUUUAGCAAAUGUCUUACAUUAUUUGUGGAGCUUCUACCUUUAACUUCUCGGGUUCAAUCCCGGACCUGCCUCUAUGGAGUUUGCAUGUUCUCCCCAUGCCUGCGUGGAUUUCUCCGGGCACUCUGGUUUCCUCCCACAUUCCAAAAACAUGCAACAUUAAUUGGACACUCUAAAUUGCCCCUAGGUGUGAUUCUGAGUGCGGCUGUUUGUCUCGAUGCAUCCUGUGAUUGGCUUAAAAAAAUGCUUGCAUACUCUUCUUCCC
Long non-coding RNA from Syngnathoides biaculeatus (alligator pipefish), 1976 nucleotides. RefSeq lists it as uncharacterized. The record is from RefSeq and is a predicted model, not a curated record. Lineage: Eukaryota; Metazoa; Chordata; Actinopteri; Syngnathiformes; Syngnathidae. The transcript is spliced from 3 exons.